GAAUCAUUGAGACUUAUGAUAUGAAGGUCAUAUAGGAGCAAGAUGUCAUCUAGAUGAACAGCCAUUCUUCACCCAGAUUAUCCUUAGUUUUUGUUUUCCUUGUUAUUGUUAUCCUGCUAUUGUGUUGGUAUUGCCAACUAGCAGGUUAGUAGAACCACAUAGACAUUAUAUUGAGCCAGAUGUUUAAUCUGUGAUUUUACAUUUCAACUUAGAGUGAUCUAAAAAUCAGUGCCGAGAUUUGACCAUUAGCAUUGAGGAAUGUUUAUAGUCCUUUACUAAGAUAUUAAUGUAGUCAGCUGUCUGAAGUCAGUUCAGUGACCCCCAGCUUAAAAGUUAGCAUUAAUCCUCUGUCUGCCCGCCUCUUACUAUUGCCUUUCUUUUCUCCAUUUUGUUCUUUCAUGACUGCUUUUCCUUUUACAUUUUGUCCUUCUUAAUUUAAUUUAAUGUUCACUGAUGUGAUUGCAGAUUUGGAAGCAAAAAGCUCAGUAUCUGCAGCACAAACAGAACAAAGCAGAAGCCACAACUGUGAAAAGGAAAGCAUCCAGCUCAGAAGGUUCCAUGAAAGUCAAAGCCUCUUCUGUAGGAGUACUGUCACCCCAGAAGAAGUCCCCACCCACCACCAUGCUGUUACCAGCCUCACCAGCCAAAGCCCCUGAGACAGAGCCCAUUGAUGUUGCUGCUCAUCUUCAGCUGUUGGGAGAGUCCCUAAGCCUCAUUGGACACCGUCUGCAGGAAACUGAGGGUAUGGUGGCUGUGUCUGGCAGUUUGUCAGUGCUUC
RNAcentral lists this small RNA (778 nucleotides) under Pan troglodytes (chimpanzee). Its description in RNAcentral is "retained intron". Lineage: Eukaryota; Metazoa; Chordata; Mammalia; Primates; Hominidae. The record is from RNAcentral.